RNAcentral lists this ribosomal RNA (235 nucleotides) under uncultured bacterium. RNAcentral's name for it is "partial 16S ribosomal RNA". It matches the Rfam family "Bacterial small subunit ribosomal RNA", at positions 118 to 347 of the family's 1533-position model. The record is from RNAcentral.
UGAGGAACAUGACCUUCGGCGGGGGAUAGCCGGCCCAACGGCCGGGUAAUACCGCGUACGACCACUUUGGGACAUCCCUCGGUGGUGAAAGCAGCAAUGCGCCGAUGGAGUGCCUCGCGGCCUAUCAGCUAGUUGGUGAGGUAACGGCUCACCAAGGCGACGACGGGUAGCUGGUCUGAGAGGAUGGCCAGCCACAUUGGGACUGAGACACGGCCCAGACUCCGUACGGGAGCAG